UCAGGAUGGACGCUGGCGGUAUGCUUUAUACAUGCAAGUCGUACGAGAGUUUUUAACUCAAGUGGCGGACGGGUGAGUAACACGUAAGAAUUUGCCUUCAGGAGGGGGAUAACAACUGGAAACGGUUGCUAAUACCCCAUAUGCUUUUGAGUGAAAUGGAUUUUUCCCCUAAAGAGAAGCUUGCGGCUGAUUAGCUUGUUGGUAAGGUAAUGGCUUACCAAGGCGACGAUCAGUAUCUGGUUUGAGAGGAACAGAUCAGACACACUGGAACUGAGACACGGUCCAGACUCCUACGGGAGGCAGCAGUAGGGAAUUUUCCGCAAUGGGCGAAAGCCUGACGGAGCAAUACCGCGUGAGGGAUGACGGCCUAUGGGUUGUAAACCUCUUUUUUCAGGG
Molecule: ribosomal RNA, 396 nt
Filed under: uncultured stramenopile
Lineage: Eukaryota
Description: bacterial SSU rRNA
Rfam family: Bacterial small subunit ribosomal RNA
Source: RNAcentral